UUGGGAUGCGGCAGCCUAUACAUGCAGUCGUACGCUUCUUUUUCCACCGGAGCUUGCUCCACCGGAAAAAGAGGAGUGGCGAACGGGUGAGUAACACGUGGGUAACCUGCCCAUCAGAAGGGGAUAACACUUGGAAACAGGUGCUAAUACCGUAUAACAAUCGAAACCGCAGGGUUUUGAUUUGAAAGGCGCUUUCGGGUGUCGCUGAUGGAUGGACCCGCGGUGCAUUAGCUAGUUGGUGAGGUAACGGCUCACCAAGGCCACGAUGCAUAGCCAACCUGAGAGGGUGAUCGGCCACAUUGGGACUGAGACACGGCCCAAACUCCUACGGGAGGCAGCAGUAGGGAAUCUUCGGCAAUGGACGAAAGUCUGACCGAGCAACGCCGCGUGAGUGAAGAAGGUUUUCGGAUCGUAAAACUCUGUUGUUAGAGAAGAACAAGGAUGAGAGUAACUGUUCAUCCCUUGACGGUAUCUAACCAGAAAGCCACGGCUAACUACGUGCCAGCAGCCGCGGUAAUACGUAGGUGGCAAGCGUUGUCCGGAUUUAUUGGGCGUAAAGCGAGCGCAGGCGGUUUCUUAAGUCUGAUGUGAAAGCCCCCGGCUCAACCGGGGAGGGUCAUUGGAAACUGGGAGACUUGAGUGCAGAAGAGGAGAGUGGAAUUCCAUGUGUAGCGGUGAAAUGCGUAGAUAUAUGGAGGAACACCAGUGGCGAAGGCGGCUCUCUGGUCUGUAACUGACGCUGAGGCUCGAAAGCGUGGGGAGCAAACAGGAUUAGAUACCCUGGUAGUCCACGCCGUAAACGAUGAGUGCUAAGUGUUGGAGGGUUUCCGCCCUUCAGUGCUGCAGCUAACGCAUUAAGCACUCCGCCUGGGGAGUACGACCGCAAGGUUGAAACUCAAAGGAAUUGACGGGGGCCCGCACAAGCGGUGGAGCAUGUGGUUUAAUUCGAAGCAACGCGAAGAACCUUACCAGGUCUUGACAUCCUUUGACCACUCUAGAGAUAGAGCUUCCCCUUCGGGGGCAAAGUGACAGGUGGUGCAUGGUUGUCGUCAGCUCCUGUCCUGAAAUGUUGGGUUAAGUCCGGCACCAACGCAACCCUUAUUGUUAGUUGCCAUCAUUCAGUUGGGCAUCCUACCAAAACUGCCGGUGA
This 1150-nucleotide ribosomal RNA is filed under the name Enterococcus sp. RNAcentral's name for it is "bacterial SSU rRNA". It matches the Rfam family "Bacterial small subunit ribosomal RNA", at positions 36 to 1158 of the family's 1533-position model. Lineage: Bacteria; Bacillati; Bacillota; Bacilli; Lactobacillales; Enterococcaceae. The record is from RNAcentral.